CCUACGGGGGGCUGCAGUCGAGAAUCAUUCACAAUGGGGGAAACCCUGAUGGUGCGACGCCGCGUGGGGGAAUGAAGGUCUUCGGAUUGUAAACUCCUGUCAUGUGGGAGCAAAUUAAAAUGCUUGUACCACAAGAGGAAGAGACGGCUAACACUGUGCCAGCAGCCGCGGUAAUACAGAGGUCUUAAGCGUUGUUCGGAAUCACUGGGCGUAAAGCGUUCGUAGGCUGUUUCGUAAGUCGUGUGUGAAAGGCGCGGGCUUAACCCGCGAACGGCACAUGAUACUGUGGGACUAGAGUAAUGGAGCGGGAACCGGAAUUCUCGGUGUAGCAGUGAAAUGCGUAGAUAUC
RNAcentral lists this ribosomal RNA (349 nucleotides) under uncultured bacterium. RNAcentral's name for it is "partial 16S ribosomal RNA". It matches the Rfam family "Bacterial small subunit ribosomal RNA", at positions 338 to 698 of the family's 1533-position model. The record is from RNAcentral.